UGGAAACUAUCUAGAACCCCUCUCUGUUUUCGUCAUCUCCAUGUUUCUAACAUCUUCGAUUGUUUGCUUCUUCCGUUGGAUCAAUCUCUCGAGCCUAUCCCUAUCUGCAUCUGGAAGUUUACAUGGUCGGUCCAUAGAAGGUACAGCUCUUGAUCUUUCCAGUAGUUCCCGUUCUUUUUGCUCUGCGAAGCACAUCAAUGAUCCUGCACAGACCUCUUUAGCUGAAGGCGGCUUCACCGGCUUGAACCUCUGAAGCUUUGAGUACUCGUUGAUUAGAUGAAACAUGUAGUCAUAAACCCGGUUCAUGCUAAUGCUUUCCAUGUAACCCUGUCCUCUUUUUCCUAUUCUUUCAGCCUGUCAAAAAAAAAGAAAAACUCCUUGGUCACAUCAAUAGAAAAUCGAUGAGAAAAGUGUAGAAUACACAUACAUCAGAGGGGUUGGCAUUGCCCCAGUCCACAGCGAAUUUGAUGGACCGACAUAGAUCAGUUGGAGAGACAGGCCAGUAGUUUUCCUUGGGAAGGAGGCCUCUGCUGAAGAAAUCUUCAUACUCCGGUGAGCGAGUAUGACAACCCAGCAGAGUGAGAUAUCAUCCAGUCUCUUCUGCCUUUUAAAUCUUUGGCCUAAGUCUAGUGCUGGCUAGUUUUCAUUUCUGAGGUUUUGGUCUAUCAAGAUUUGAAAUAAUAGGAUGUUACCAAAAGUGGAGGAUACGUCACUUGACUUCCUCCUACACCAAGGGAUUAGGAUUUGUAUUUUAUUUUCUCUUGUUGUGUUACUUUUGAAGAUCAGAGUAAGACUGAUUUAUUUAUAAUUGCCUCUCCAUUCAAACAGCAAUCCGUGUACCUGUAAGUUUAUGGUUUCUUUAUUCUAUAAACCAAGUCUUAAUCAAGUAUCAUCUCGUGCUUAUAGCUUGAUGAUGAUGAACACACGUGUUCAGAGGAAAAAAAUGAUUACACAAUUUAUGUUCCUGGAAACUAUCUAGAACCCCUCUCUGUUUUCGUCAUCUCCAUGUUUCUAACAUCUUCGAUUGUUUGCUUCUUCCGUUGGAUCAAUCUCUCGAGCCUAUCCCUAUCUGCAUCUGGAAGUUUACAUGGUCGGUCCAUAGAAGGUACAGCUCUUGAUCUUUCCAGUAGUUCCCGUUCUUUUUGCUCUGCGAAGCACAUCAAUGAUCCUGCACAGACCUCUUUAGCUGAAGGCGGCUUCACCGGCUUGAACCUCUGAAGCUUUGAGUACUCGUUGAUUAGAUGAAACAUGUAG
RNAcentral lists this long non-coding RNA (1254 nucleotides) under Brassica napus (rape). Its description in RNAcentral is "long non-coding RNA (BNAP_LNC016820)". Lineage: Eukaryota; Viridiplantae; Streptophyta; Magnoliopsida; Brassicales; Brassicaceae. The record is from RNAcentral.